Molecule: ribosomal RNA, 449 nt
Filed under: uncultured bacterium
Lineage: Bacteria
Description: partial 16S ribosomal RNA
Rfam family: Bacterial small subunit ribosomal RNA
Source: RNAcentral
AACGAACGCUGGCGGCAUGCCUAACACAUGCAAGUCGAACGAGACCUUCGGGUCUAGUGGCGCACGGGUGCGUAACGCGUGGGAAUCUGCCCUGGGGUACGGAAUAACUCAGAGAAAUUUGAGCUAAUACCGUAUGAUGACGUAAGUCCAAAGAUUUAUCGCCCUGGGAUGAGCCCGCGUAGGAUUAGCUUGUUGGUGAGGUAAAGGCUCACCAAGGCGAUGAUCCUUAGCUGGUCUGAGAGGAUGAUCAGCCACACUGGGACUGAGACACGGCCCAGACUCCUACGGGAGGCAGCAGUGGGGAAUAUUGGACAAUGGGCGAAAGCCUGAUCCAGCAAUGCCGCGUGAGUGAUGAAGGCCCUAGGGUUGUAAAGCUCUUUUACCCGGGAAGAUAAUGACUGUACCGGGAGAAUAAGCCCCGGCUAACUCCGUGCCAGCCGCCGCGGUAA